Molecule: ribosomal RNA, 248 nt
Filed under: Nitrospirota bacterium
Lineage: Bacteria; Pseudomonadati; Nitrospirota
Description: Nitrospirae bacterium (groundwater metagenome) partial 16S ribosomal RNA
Rfam family: Bacterial small subunit ribosomal RNA
Source: RNAcentral
AUUUGAGAGUUUGAUCCUGGCUCAGAACGAACGCUGGCGGCGCGCUUAAUACAUGCAAGUCGAACGAGAAGGUGUAGCAAUACACUUGUAAAGUGGCGAACGGGUGAGGAAUACAUGGGUAACCUACCCUCGAGUGGGGAACAACCAGCCGAAAGGUUGGCUAAUACCGCGUACGCUUCCGGGUCUUCGGAUUCGGAAGGAAAGUCAUACCGUGGGUAUGACGCUCAAGGAUGGGCUCAUGUCCUAUC